GUAAAAGUCGUAACAAGGUUUCCGUAGGUGAACCUGCGGAAGGNUCAUUAUUGAAUAAACUUGCACAGGCUGUUGCUGGCCCUCAAGGGUAUGUGCACGCUUGUCAUCUUUAUCUCUCCAACUGUGCACAUAUUGUAGACCUNGAGUCCCUGUUGAUUCAUUUCGAGUUGGGACUGCUGUGCUUUGUACUUCAGAGUCAGCUUUGCCUUUUUCAUACCCAGGUCUAUGUCAUUUUCACAACCUCUUGAAUGUGUUUAGAAUGUUGAAUCAGGUCUUUUUGUACCUAUAAAGUUAAAUAUACAACUUUCAGCAACGGAUCUCUUGGCUCUCGCAUCGAUGAAGAACGCAGCGAAAUGCGAUAAGUAAUGUGAAUUGCAGAAUUCAGUGAAUCAUCGAAUCUUUGAACGCAUCUUGCGCUCCUUGGUACUCCGAGGAGCAUGCCUGUUUGAGUGUCAUUUAAAUUCUCAACCACAUCAAUUUAUUUGGUGAGGCUUGGAUGUGGGGGUCUUUUUGCGGGCUUCUGUAAAUUUGAAGUCGGCUCCCCUAAAAUGCAUUAGUGGUAUCUGAGCAGAAGAAACUACUACAGGUGUGAUAAUUAUCUACGCCUCAGUAUCCUGCACAAUCAGAUUGUGCUGCUUCUAACGAGUGGAGAUUCCUUUUGGGGGACCACAUUUGUUGAAUUUGACCUCAAAUCAGGUAGGACUACCCGCUGAACUUA
Molecule: ribosomal RNA, 718 nt
Filed under: Inocybe tjallingiorum
Lineage: Eukaryota; Fungi; Basidiomycota; Agaricomycetes; Agaricales; Inocybaceae
Description: eukaryotic LSU rRNA
Rfam family: 5.8S ribosomal RNA (bases 302-455)
Source: RNAcentral